GAUGAACGCUGGCAGCGUGCCUAAUACAUGCAAGUCGAACGAAACUUCUUUAUCACCGAGUGCUUGCACUCACCGAUAAAGAGUUGAGUGGCGAACGGGUGAGUAACACGUGGGCAACCUGCCCAAAAGAGGGGGAUAACACUUGGAAACAGGUGCUAAUACCGCAUAACCAUAGUUACCGCAUGGUAACUAUGUAAAAGGUGGCUAUACUACCGCUUUUGGAUGGGCCCGCGGCGCAUUAGCUAGUUGGUAGGGUAAAGGCUUACCAAGGCAAUGAUGCGUAGCCGAAUUGAGAGGUUGAUCGGCCACAUUGGGACUGAGACACGGCCCAAACUCCUACGGGAGGCAGCAGUAGGGAAUCUUCCACAAUGGGCGAAAGCCUGAUGGAGCAACGCCGCGUGGGUGAAGAAGGUCUUCGGAUCGUAAAACCCUGUUGUUAGAGAAGAAAGUGCGUGAGAGUAACUGUUCACGUUUCGACGGUAUCUAACCAGAAAGCCACUGCUAACUACGUG
RNAcentral lists this ribosomal RNA (512 nucleotides) under uncultured bacterium. Its description in RNAcentral is "partial 16S ribosomal RNA". It matches the Rfam family "Bacterial small subunit ribosomal RNA", at positions 28 to 507 of the family's 1533-position model. The record is from RNAcentral.